GCUCAGGGGCCUGAUUUCCACAUUUCCUUGGGAGAGACAUCGGUCAGCGAAGCAGCCCCCCUUCCCCGGCUCCUCCUGGUGCCCGCGGCCUCCCGGUGCCCCCCACCAGAGCCCCACGCUCGGCCCCAGGCCCGUGCUGCUCAGUGCCUCGUCUGCUCUGGUGCCCGUCGUCUCCCUGCUUUGGUGCACGUCCCCCACCCCGGGCAGGUGCUGGUUUACUCGGUGAGCGGCCUCCGUGUGCACAGGACGUGUGUGCUCCGGAGCCCAGAUGCAUGUGUGUUCAGCGGGUGCCCGCUGUGUGUGCUGCGUGUGUGGGCUCCGGGGGAGGGGAGGGGAGGGGAGGGGAGGGCAGGGGAGGGGCAGUGGCUCUGUUCUAUUUUUACUGGCCAGUUGCCGCGGCCCGCAGUUUUCAUAGCCUCCCCUCCGCCUGCCCCUCGCAGUCUGCGGUCUGCGGCGACACAGCCAGCCCAGCUCCCGGAGGCUCCCAGAGGUACGUGUCACAGUGUCACAGCCCCGGCCUUCGAGUCUGGGCCGGCCCUGAGGGAGAAGCUGGAGGCGGCCAGGGCUUGGCGACGGAGCGGGACCUAUACGCUGGCCUGGAGCACGGGCUGGCUGGUGGGACAGUCCCCAAACGCUCCGGCCUUCUGUCCUGGGCACGGCAUCUCUCCCGCCAGGCUGGCGGCAGGUGCCCACUGCCCAUCGGAGGCUGAGAGCCAGGAGCUGAAUUUCCCACCAGGGUGCUCCGAGGGCCCCAGGGUGGAGCCAGGCUGCCCAGCAGGUGUCGGGGGGGGAAGGGGUGCAGGGGGGGCAGGGUCGUGGCGGGAGUCGGAGCCCCGGCGGCUGCUGCGAGUCCAGGAAGAGCCUGGGCGGCGGCCGAAGUGCCAACGCCUGUGGCCGCAGCAGGUGCCCGGCUCUGUUGCACUCCGGGGCCCAGAGCUCCAGCCACAGCCCCUGCGGGCGGAAGAAGCCGUCCUGCCCCUCUGUCCUGUGUCCUGGGGGGCCGUCCUCAGCACCCCUGCCGCUGCCCGAACAGCCGGGCGAGCAGGUGAGGGCAGGCUGCCAACCCCUCGCCACGAGCUGCCCGGUCCGCCGGCCUGGCUCCGAGGAGUACGAGGUGGUUGGUGGGGCCCGGGGCCUCUGGAGGGAGGCAGGUGGGACCGCGCCUGGGCCCGGGCACCUUCUCCACGAGAACCACGGCUGGGCGCUGGGGCUGAGGCGGCACGGCCACCCCGUCGGGGUGACGGUCCCACGGGAGCUCUGAGAUUCAGCUUCCCUGUGGAGGGAAGGGGCUCCGAGGGGGCUGCGGGAGCACCACGCUUGCUCACGACCAGAGGACUGAGAUGCCCUUGA
This 1350-nucleotide long non-coding RNA is filed under the name Canis lupus familiaris (dog). Its description in RNAcentral is "lncRNA (ENSCAFG00845017760.1)". Lineage: Eukaryota; Metazoa; Chordata; Mammalia; Carnivora; Canidae. The record is from RNAcentral.